CGGUGAAGGUUUUUACACCUAGUUAAAAAUGGCUGCGCCCUUGAUUUCAUGUCGCCACCUGGUUAAAUUUGGUUUACGGACGAAAUCAUGGAAUGCUGCAUGCUGUGCGAGGAAGCUGCAUCUCCAAGAAUACCAGAGCAAAUCUCUCAUGAGGGGCCAUGAUAUUGAGGUGCAACACUUUGAAGUGGUCGACAAUCACUGGGAUGCAAAAACGGUCCCAUCCAGAUUAAAUGCUGCUGAGUAUGUGAUCAAGGCUCAGAUCUUGGCAGGUGGCAGGGGAAAGGGGACGUUCUCCAAUGGAUUCAAGGGGGGAGUCCAGCUCACAAAGGACCCAGAGCAGGUGCCAAAGCUGGUUGAGAAGAUGGUCGGAGAGCGACUUGUCACCAAACAGACACCGGCCAACGGUGUGCUUGUGAAGAAGGUGAUGGUUGCCGAGGCCUUGGACAUCGCCAGGGAGACCUAUCUGGCCAUCUUGCUGGACCGGGCGUACAACGGACCCGUCAUUGUGGGCAGCAGCCAGGGUGGCAUGGACAUCGAGGAAGUGGCAGAGAAAAAUCCUGAUGCAAUCUUUAAGGAGCCAGUGGACAUUAUGGAAGGACUGAGUCCGGAAACUGCCAGGUCCGUGGCCAUGAAGCUGGGAUUCCAGGGACCACGCUUGGAAAAGGCAGCUGACCAGGUGAUGAAGCUGUACGAGAUGUUUAUUGACGUGGAUGCUACACAGAUUGAGAUCAACCCCUUCGCUGAAACACCCUGUGGACGAGUCGUGUGCUUCGAUGCGAAGAUCAAUUUUGAUGACAACGCAGCCUACCGUCAGAAGGAGAUAUUCGCGAUGGACGACCUUUCUGAACUGGACCCCAGAGAGAAGGAAGCGGAAGAACAUCACCUUAACUAUGUCGGCCUUGAGGGCAACAUCGGAUGUCUAGUGAAUGGUGCAGGACUCGCCAUGGCAACCAUGGACAUAAUUAAGCUAUAUGGGGGAAAGCCAGCAAACUUCCUCGAUGUGGGGGGAGGUGUCACAGAGAAGCAAGUUUAUGAAGCAUUCCAUAUCCUCACUGCAGACGCUCAUGUGAAAUCGAUCUUGAUCAAUGUGUUUGGUGGCAUUGUGAAUUGCGUGACGAUGGCAAAUGGCAUCAUUAGGGCCUAUAGAGAUGCCCACAUGACUGUACCCAUGGUUGUCAGACUGGAAGGUAGUGUUGUGUAACCUCGUACCCAUGGUUGUCAGACUGGAAGGUAGUGUUGUGUAACCUUGUACCCAUGGUUGUCAGACUGGAAGGUAGUGUCGUGUAACCUUGUACCCAUUGUUGUCAGACUGGAAGGUAGUGUUGUGUCACCUUAUACCCAUGGUUGUCAGACUGGAAGGUAGUGUUGUGUAACCUUGUACCCAUGGUUGUCAGACUGGAAGGUAGUGUUGUGUAACCUUGUACCCAUGGUUGUCAGACUGGAAGGUCAAAAUGCCAAGAAAGCCUUGGAUAUUCUGAAGGAGAGUGGUCUCCCCAUCAUCACGGCCACUGACAUGGCAGACGCCGCGGAGAAGGUUGUCGCCACACUUCCCAAAUCCUGAUGUACAGGCACCGUGCUCCAGUGGGCGGGAACGGGACUUUGUGAUAUCUUUGUAUUCAGAAUAUGUUUUGCUAGAUUAUUUUUACAUAGCUUGACAAUGUUAUCCUUACACUGAUCAUGCCCAUGAAUUUAUAUAUAUAUAUAUAUAUAUAUAUAUAUAUAUAUAUAUAUAUAUAUAUAUAUAUAUAUAUAUAUAUAUAUAUAUAUAAUACUGUCAGGGGGAAAGCAAUACUUUCUGUGCUGAAUAGAAAAUGGGUAAAAUAGGAAAAUGAAAUCCCACUAACUUGCUGGUAUGUUGUCAUUUAUUGACUUAAACACAUGCACAAAUAAAGUGGUUUAUAAUAUAGGACACAAAUCAAACGUGUAAUUUAUGCUAAUAGAGUUCACAUUAAACAUGUCAAUGUAGGCAAGCUAUACUAGUCUUUUUAUAUGCAUUUAGUUUAAGUGACAAUAGUAUGUUUGUAUAUGAUGGUAUUUUAUGAAUUUAUUGUCGUCAAAUGGAGGGUGUAUGGGGAUACAUUUGUAUCAAAUGACAUAACCAUGAGCAGCCCUCUGCGAAAAUAGGGCUUAAUGAAUAUGCUUUAACCCUUUGCAUGCUUGGAAAUUUGUCAUCUGCUAAAAUGUCGUCUGCUGAAUUUCUUAAAUUAGCAUUUUCUUUGAUUUUUUUCAAAGAAAACUAUCAGAAUAGCAAACAGUUUGGAUCCUGAUGAGACGCCAAGUUCUGUGGCGUCUCAUCUGGAUCCAAACUGUUUGCAAAGGUCUUCAAAAUCCGGUUCCCACACUGAAAGAGUUAAGAAUGUAUAUUUCUCUAGUCAGGGAUAAAUGCUUACUAUACAUUUAUCUGACAUGAAUAAUCCAUUUUGACAAUCAUCCAAAGAGGAGGAAGUUCUUUAGCAAACGUUGUUAUCAAACGUGUAAAAAUGUCUGCCAAUGGCCUUUAUGGAACUGUGUAAUAAAGGAUAUUAAUCCUCUAUGAUUCCCACGACUCAAGCAUUUGUAUACACUCGGGAGCCAUAUGAGUCUCUUUCUGGGAAAUUUGGGCUUGAUGCAUUUGAGUAAAGUGUCGUCCUAGAUAAGCCUGUGCAGGCAGCACAGGCUUACAGAGACAACACUAACAAGACCUUAAAUGGAUUUUUUCUUAGAAGAGACUUCCUUUCAAUGAAAAAUGACAUAAAAGCAGAAAGUUAUUUCACUGAGUAGCCUGUGAGGACUGCACAGGCUAAUCUGGGAAGACACUAAAGGCACAUGCAUUAAGCCCAGUUUUCCCAGAGCAAAGCUCAUUUUAUAGUAAAAACCUUGUCAGUUCAUCUGUACGCCAGUAUUAAGAUUGAACUAUUUUGUCCAGCACAACUAACCCCACUUGAACUCGUUUUGGACACUGUUUAUUAUUCAAGAUCAAUGCUAAUCCAUCCAUAUCACCCAGCAUUAUAUAACCCAGUGCCACUUUUACCUUGAACUAAUUUUAUUUUUAAAUAAUUAGAUUGCUUUAUAUGUUUGCUUUCAGAUUGUUAUGUUGCAUUUAGUGCCAGCACUGUAGGAUGGAACUGUUGGAAACUUUAUACCUCAUUCUUAUGACCAUUCCUAAUACACUCGUAUCACCCAACCUCACUUUACUCUUGACUUUAUUCAGGCUUCAUUGGUCAUUGUCUGCUCGGUUACUACUUAAAUGUACCCUUGGUACUCUUGUAAGUGUACGUACAUUUACCCCGGGUAUGGGAAAUAUACUUAAACGUACCCGGCCCAUUAAGACUGCAACAGAGUUUUAUUCCUGCCCAAAAUCGGAUGUCCUAAAACACGCCUCGGAACACGAAACAAAACCUGUUUCAAAAUUCUUUUUAUGUCUCCCAGUCUAUACUGGGGGACAAAUUGUUUUUGCCCUGUCUGUUUGUGUGUUUUUUUGUUCGCCUCAAACUUUAACAUUGGCCAUAACUUUUGCAAUAUUAAAGGUAGCAACUUGAUAUUUGGCAUGCAUGUGUUUCUCAUGGAGCUGCACAUUUUGAGUGUUGAAAGGUCAAGGUCAUCCUUCAAGGAUAAAAAGGUCAAAUAUAUGGGUUUCACAAACACAUUUGGUUUGAGUAUGAUUUUCGCUAAUAAAGUGGACAUUUUACAAAAUAUUAAUAUAAAUAUGAACAAUUUAGAGUUUUUUUUCCCUUGUUCGUUUUAGUAUAUUAAAAAAAGAACAGGGUACAUUUAAGUAUAUUUUAGAGAACACGGGAUACAUUUAAUAGUAGCCGACAAUGAACAAUCGAGCUAGAAAAAGCAGUCACAAGAACAGCAUUAUCAUCCACUGAGUACGUUGUUUCAUGUAAAUCAAAGUUUAUUUGUUACAUAAUUAUGUCAUGAUCUCAGGAUCAUUUUCAAAGCCUGCUAUCCGUUGUGUUUAUUAUGAUUAUAAAUAUUAAUUAAGGAAAUCAUAAAGUUACCUUGAAUGUGUCCAUAUUUUGUAACUGCCUUUGUAAAAUAAAUAAAUAAAUUUACUAGAAUAUAAAAA
Molecule: RNA transcript, 4051 nt
Organism: Dreissena polymorpha
Lineage: Eukaryota; Metazoa; Mollusca; Bivalvia; Myida; Dreissenidae
Gene name: succinate--CoA ligase [GDP-forming] subunit beta, mitochondrial-like
Exons: 13
Source: RefSeq, a predicted model, not a curated record